GGCGACCGGCGCACGGGUGAGUAACGCGUAUGCAACUUGCCUAUCAGAGGGGGAUAACCCGGCGAAAGUCGGACUAAUACCGCAUGAAGCAGGGAUCCCGCAUGGGAAUAUUUGCUAAAGAUUCAUCGCUGAUAGAUAGGCAUGCGUUCCAUUAGGCAGUUGGCGGGGUAACGGCCCACCAAACCGACGAUGGAUAGGGGUUCUGAGAGGAAGGUCCCCCACAUUGGUACUGAGACACGGACCAAACUCCUACGGGAGGCAGCAGUGAGGAAUAUUGGUCAAUGGCCGAGAGGCUGAACCAGCCAAGUCGCGUGAGGGAUGAAGGUUCUAUGGAUCGUAAACCUCUUUUAUAAGGGAAUAAAGUGCGGGACGUGUCCCGUUUUGUAUGUACCUUAUGAAUAAGGAUCGGCUAACUCCGUGCCAGCAGCCGCGGUAAUACGGAGGAUCCGAGCGUUAUCCGGAUUUAUUGGGUUUAAAGGGUGCGUAGGCGGCCUUUUAAGUCAGCGGUGAAAGUCUGUGGCUCAACCAUAGAAUUGCCGUUGAAACUGGGGGGCUUGAGUAUGUUUGAGGCAGGCGGAAUGCGUGGUGUAGCGGUGAAAUGCAUAGAUAUCACGCAGAACCCCGAUUGCGAAGGCAGCCUGCCAAGCCAUUACUGACGCUGAUGCACGAAAGCGUGGGGAUCAAACAGGAUUAGAUACCCUGGUAGUCCACGCAGUAAACGAUGAUCACUAGCUGUUUGCGAUACACUGUAAGCGGCACAGCGAAAGCGUUAAGUGAUCCACCUGGGGAGUACGCCGGCAACGGUGAAACUCAAAGGAAUUGACGGGGGCCCGCACAAGCGGAGGAACAUGUGGUUUAAUUCGAUGAUACGCGAGGAACCUUACCCGGGUUUGAACGCAUUCGGACCGAGGUGGAAACACCUUUUCUAGCAAUAGCCGUUUGCGAGGUGCUGCAUGGUUGUCGUCAGCUCGUGCCGUGAGGUGUCGGCUUAAGUGCCAUAACGAGCGCAACCCUUGCCACUAGUUACUAACAGGUAAAGCUGAGGACUCUGGUGGGACUGCCAGCGUAAGCUGCGAGGAAGGCGGGGAUGACGUCAAAUCAGCACGGCCCUUACAUCCGGGGCGACACACGUGUUACAAUGGCGUGGACAAAGGGAGGCCACCUGGCGACAGGGAGCGAAUCCCCAAACCACGUCUCAGUUCGGAUCGGAGUCUGCAACCCGACUCCGUGAAGCUGGAUUCGCUAGUAAUCGCGCAUCAGCCAUGGCGCGGUGAAUACGUUCCCGGGCCUUGUACACACCGCCCGUCAAGCCAUGGGAGCCGGGGGUACCUGAAGUCCGUAACCG
Molecule: ribosomal RNA, 1345 nt
Filed under: Parabacteroides distasonis
Lineage: Bacteria; Pseudomonadati; Bacteroidota; Bacteroidia; Bacteroidales; Tannerellaceae
Description: bacterial SSU rRNA
Rfam family: Bacterial small subunit ribosomal RNA
Source: RNAcentral